CCUACGGGGGGCAGCAGUGAGGAAUAUUGGUCAAUGGUCGGGAGACUGAACCAGCCAAGCCGCGUGAGGGAGGAAGGUACAGAGUAUCGUAAACCUCUUUUGUCAGGGAACAAAGACUGGGACGCGUCCCCGGAUGAGUGUACCUGAAGAAAAAGCAUCGGCUAACUACGUGCCAGCAGCCGCGGUAAUACGUAGGGAGCAAGCGUUGUUCGGAAUGACUGGGCGUAAAGGGUGCGUAGGCGGUUAUACAAGUUAGAAGUGAAAUACCCAGGGCUUAACUCGGGUGCUGCUUCUAAAACUGUAAGACUUGAGUGCAGUAGAGGUUAGUGGAAUUCCUAGUGUAGCGGUGGAAUGCGUAGAUAUUAGGAGGAACACCAGAGGCGAAGGCGGCUAACUGGACUGCAACUGACGCUGAGGCACGAAAGUGUGGGGAGCAAACAGGAUUAGAUACCCCUGUAGUC
RNAcentral lists this ribosomal RNA (461 nucleotides) under uncultured bacterium. RNAcentral's name for it is "partial 16S ribosomal RNA". It matches the Rfam family "Bacterial small subunit ribosomal RNA", at positions 338 to 795 of the family's 1533-position model. The record is from RNAcentral.